RNAcentral lists this long non-coding RNA (473 nucleotides) under Callithrix jacchus (white-tufted-ear marmoset). Its description in RNAcentral is "lncRNA (ENSCJAG00000086774.1)". The record is from RNAcentral. Lineage: Eukaryota; Metazoa; Chordata; Mammalia; Primates; Cebidae.
GCUCCCUGAUAUAGACCAGACCUUGAGGAAGAGCAAUUCCCCUUCAGUGUUUUAGUUCAGAGGCACCACUGUGUACAAGAGCAGUUACAUUUUAGGAAGUUGGGACAAGAGGUUAAGACUGGCAGUGCUUUGGGCCUGGCUGGAUCAUGGUUAUUGGAGACAGGCCUGGAAAUGGAGUAUGGAGUGUGGCACGGGAAAGGAAGAACUUGGUUUCCAGGUGAGCCAUCAAGAAAGUGUUGACAAGAGCAGCAGAGUGACAACACAAAGGUAGUUUUUCAUUAGCUUUCUCUGGAUCUUGUAUCCCAGAUGGAUUAGAAAGUGGGAGAAGAGAUUAGAGACAAGGAGUCUGACUUACUGUUUCUAUCCCUGGUCCAGAUGGCAGGUGAUGUGUUUUGAUAAGGGACAUAGCAAAGGGAACAGAAAGAAUGGAUGGUGUGUGUGGUUUUGAGAGACAUGAAAAGGGAGAGAUGGGG